This 27-nucleotide small RNA is filed under the name Bombyx mori (domestic silkworm). Its description in RNAcentral is "ovarian small RNA-15875". Lineage: Eukaryota; Metazoa; Arthropoda; Insecta; Lepidoptera; Bombycidae. The record is from RNAcentral.
GAGGAAAAGGGAUUUUUAGUCGGUUUC